GACGAACGCUGGCGGCGUGCUUAACACAUGCAAGUCGAACGGAAAGGCCCUGCUUUUGUGGGGUGCUCGAGUGGCGAACGGGUGAGUGACACGUGAGUAACCUGCCCUUGACUUUGGGAUAACUUCAGGAAACUGGGGCUAAUACCGGAUAGGAGCUCCUGCUGCAUGGUGGGGGUUGGAAAGUUUCGGCGGUUGGGGAUGGACUCGCGGCUUAUCAGCUUGUUGGUGGGGUAGUGGCUUACCAAGGCUUUGACGGGUAGCCGGCCUGAGAGGGUGACCGGCCACAUUGGGACUGAGAUACGGCCCAGACUCCUACGGGAGGCAGCAGUGGGGAAUAUUGCACAAUGGGCGGAAGCCUGAUGCAGCAACGCCGCGUGCGGGAUGACGGCCUUCGGGUUGUAAACCGCUUUCGCCUGUGACGAAGCGUGAGUGACGGUAAUGGGUAAGGAAGCACCGGCUAACUACGUG
Molecule: ribosomal RNA, 468 nt
Filed under: uncultured bacterium
Lineage: Bacteria
Description: partial 16S ribosomal RNA
Rfam family: Bacterial small subunit ribosomal RNA
Source: RNAcentral